UCUCCAGAUUUCCUUUCUUGCCUGCAUCGUCUCCAUCUUUAUUCUUUCCCCCUCCUACCUUUAACCUAACUCUACGCUUCUGUUUCCAUGCCCAUUCCACAAAUCCUCAGAAUAUCGAAGAGGCUCUCUCUUCUUUUUAUCGCUUGGUUCAUGUGCGGCCCCCACCCUCCAUAAUCCAAAUUAAUAAGAUCCUGGGAUCUAUUGCAAAGUUGAAACACUAUCAAACUACUAUUUCCCUUUUCGCACGAGCGGAAUCUAAGGGAUUCACGCCAGAUUUGGUUACACUGAGUAUUUUGAUCAAUUGUUACUGCCAUGUGGGACAAAUGACUUUUGCAUUCUCUGCCUUAGGCAAGAUUCUUAAGAUGGGCUGUCAGCCAAAUACAAUUACCCUGACUACUCUAAUGAAGGGCCUUUGCCUCAAUAAUGACGUUGGAGAGGCUUUAGACUUUCAUGAUGAUAUGAUAGCAAAAGGGUUUCAGUUAGAUGCAGUCAGCUAUGGCACACUGAUUAAUGGACUAUGUAAGACUGGGAAAACAAGAGCUGCGGUUGAAUUACUCCAAAAGAUGGCAAGAGGGGUGGUUAAACCUAAUUUAGUUAUGUAUAGUACAGUUAUAGAUGGGUUUUCUAAAGAGGGACUCAUGGCAGAAGCGUUUGAUUUAUUUCAUCAGAUGAUUGAUCAUGGAAUAUCUCCCAAUGUCGUCACCUACAACUCUAUGAUACAUGGUUUUUGCGUUAUGUAUCAAUUGUCGGAAGCUGCAAAAUUAUUUAAUGAUAUGAGACUUGAAGGCAUUAAUGCUAACGUUUGUACUUUUAAUAUUUUUAUUGACGCAUUUUGUAAGGGAGGAAGUGUCACCAAAGCUGAAGCUGUUGUUGCCAUGAUGAUAAAGUUUGGUAUAAAACCUGAUAGAAUAACUUACAACACUUUAUUGGAUGGGUGCUUUUUGGUUAAUAAUGUUGGUAAGUCAAGAGAAUUAUUCAAUAAGAUGGUCAAGGUUGGUUUGGCUCCUAAUAUUGUUAGUUAUAAUAUUUUGAUCAAUGGAUUCUGUAAAAUCAAGAUGGUGGAUGAGGCUAUGGAUCUCUUAUUAGAAUUGAAGCGCAAAAAUCUGAUUCCUGAUGUUGUAACCUAUAGCUCUCUAGUUGAUGGUUUGUGCAAAUCUGGUAAAAUGUCCUGUGUGCAGGAUAUUAUUUGUGAGAUGCAUGAUAAUGGUCAUGCUCCAAAUAUAAUAUUUUACAAUGUCUUUUUAGAUGGAUUGUGCAAAAGUCACCAUCUUAAUCAAGCUCUUACAUUGUUUCAGCAAAUUGUUGGCCAAGGAAUUCGGCCUAAUACAUGCACAUAUACCAUAGUCAUUGAUGGCUUGUGCAAAGGUGGUAGAUUAAAUGAUGCGCAACAGAUUUUUCAGGAUCUUUUGGUCAAUGGCCAUCCUUUGGAUGUCCAAGCAUAUACUGCAAUGAUCAGUGGACUCUGUAAAGAGGGCUUGUUUGAUGAGGUAAAGGCCUUGCUUUAUAAAAUGAAAGAAAAUGGAUGCACACUUGAUUUUGUAACUUUUGAUGCAAUUAUUAGACCUCUUUUGGAAAAAGGUGAGAAUGCCAAGGCAAAGGAUCUACUGGAUGAAAUGAUCACUGGAGGUUAAGGUUCGACACUUUGCCCCACAUUUUCUUGGUUGAUACUCACUUUUGUGAUGGAAUUUUUUGUGUUGUUUAACGAUUUUUCUUUUUUUAAGGUAAACUUUGUGCACUAUAGAAUAGCUGACUGCAAUAGCCUGUGUUCUGUUUACAUGCAUCAACCAUGAUUGUUGCCAACAUUACUGGGUUUACAAAAGAAGAAGAAGGAAUUAUAGCAUUAUGUGCCAUAAAUGAAGGCGAUGUUAGAACGAGUCUUGCAAAACCUUUAUCAGGGCUUGUUUGUGUUGCGAGGAGGCAUGGCCAUUGCGGUUCAGUUAUGUGCCCGGUAGUUGUUUGAGAAGCGGACAAGUCAUUGAAAGCAAAGUAGCAUAUGGGAGAACCAUUGAUGCUUCAUUGGAUGCUUUUGGUGGCUAUGCCUGUGUUACAGUGAAGAAGAGAUUGAGAAUGGAAAUAUUGGAGAGGAGGGCAUAUGAAGAGUAAACUCUUCAGCUUUCAUUAGAUUGGCAAAGAGUCAUACCACAUCUAUCACUAAAAUGACGCCUAUUUAUUGCUGAGCAUGAGUAUAUUCCUUCCCCUUGCUGCAAUCUUCCAUUUUGUUGGUGAAUAGUCAACUUUGUAAAAGCAUAUUCUGGAGUUUAGUUUUUAAGUUUGUGUCACGAGAAAUGCAUCGCCAGUAAACAAAGGAAUAGAAAUUAGAAGUAAUGUACAGUUUUGAGUUUCUUCUUUUCCCUCCUGAACAAACAAUCGCUGAUACCCUGAUUUGGAAAGAAAAUAGUGAACUCAACUGUAUCUGAGCUGGACUACUGCAAGAAAACUCAGUAGUCCGUGCAUGUUUAUGUUUGUUUCUACUCAGUGAUGCUACGGAGGGUAUCAAGCAUAGCUUCUUCAUCGGGUUCUACAGUCAACUUCUAAGGUAGUUUGUUGUCUGUGGCAUCUUUCUCAUCAAAUGUUGUAAUUCUGGAUUUCAGCUGGAUCAUGAUGUUUCUAGGCUUUCGGAUACUCGAUGGCAUGUGAUUUUAAUCUGAAUUGAAUGUGUUUCUGCAAAGUUCAAUUCUUUCUCUUGGCUGAGAUUGUGAUGGUUUACUUGGCUUUGGCAUGCGUCUGUGCUGCUAUGUGAUUUUAAUCUGAAUAUUGUAAAGCAUUAGGCCUUGUUAGCUUGUCCAAAGCCAGAGGAGUCGGAAAGAAUAGAGAAGCCAGUUUGCAGCAA
This is an RNA transcript of Neltuma alba, 2830 nucleotides long. It is a transcript of the gene named putative pentatricopeptide repeat-containing protein At1g12700, mitochondrial, with no coding region annotated. Lineage: Eukaryota; Viridiplantae; Streptophyta; Magnoliopsida; Fabales; Fabaceae. The record is from RefSeq and is a predicted model, not a curated record. The transcript has 2 exons.